This is a non-coding RNA of Podarcis muralis (Common wall lizard), 1929 nucleotides long. The record is from RefSeq and is a predicted model, not a curated record. Lineage: Eukaryota; Metazoa; Chordata; Lepidosauria; Squamata; Lacertidae.
GCGUGGAUGGAGAGGGCGACAUGAAACGGAUUGCAGGUUUUCCUCUGCGCCAUGAAAGUGUGCGCGACAGCAGAGGGUGAACUCACUGCUGCCUGGAUCCUUAUGUCCGCUUGGAAGAGGCAUUUGUGGCCAGAGGUUGUGUGUCUGAGAGUGUGACUGUGUUGUGGGGUCACCAAUUUCUUUCACAACAACUUCCCAAUCUCUGGUGCAGUGUCUAGGGACUGGAUUUGGGUAGACUCCAUCCCAGUGUUUAAAUAGUUAAAAAAGAAAUAAGGGGGGGGUGCAGAAAUAUAGUGGGAGGAGCCAACUAAACCUUUUUUAAAAACCCCCCAAAGUAAAUUAAUCUUUCUACUUGUUUAAAAAGGUAAGCAGAAAGGAGUUGCUAGCAAAUUCUGGGUGAGACAGAUUGAGCUUUGAAGAGAAAGGGGCUCCCAUUUUGUAACUUUAAAGCUCUUUUUAACCUUCCAAGUCUGUUUUUCUUUGUGUGCAUGUGGGGUUUUUUAUUUUUUUAAAAAUAAAAAAAAAUACUCGCUUAAAUUAUACUCAUCCAGCUUUUAAGUAGACUUUGUGAUAACUCCCCCCCCUUCCUUCUUCUAUGCCCUAAUUUCUUUUCUAUUGAGGAAAGGAGGGAAUGGUUGUUAAAUGGUUUUAAAGGAAGGGGUUAGCAUUGGAGAAAUAAAUCAAUUCCUUUCUGGCAUCUAACUUUCAAUUCAUAACAUUGGUUUCAUAUAGCUAUUUCAUUAGGAUGGAAUAACUCACCUGCAAGUAAUUACAGUUGACUUGCUUUCUAAGAGAAACCCAGGCAAGUUUGGGGAAGGAAGGAAGGUGACUUAACAGAAAUAUCGUGCAGCUUUGACAUGGGAAUAUAAAAGUGAAUUAGAUAUAUUCUUUAUUAAAGCACAAACCUAUCUGAAUGAUCUUUGUAAGCAAUUGUUUCCAUGGAGCUCUGCUUUUUCCAGGCUUUGCUACAUACACACAGGGAUGUCUGGACUGCAGGAUGCUCAGAAAGCCUUAGAUCAACAAGGGAGGUGUUACAAAAUGAACUCGAAAAGUAUUGUCCUAAAUUUCAUUUUGACUUUGCAAAGAAAAGCACUUGCUACAAAUGCGAGAAAACUCUUGUAUUGCUUCAUGUAUUCGAAACAGGCACAUGACAUCGCUUCUCCCCCUUUUGCUCAGAAACUUCUUUUUAAAAUAUCUUGUUUUAACCACAUGCUGCAAAAUGGUUUAAAUUGCCUUUCUCAAGGUCCUGUCUAGCACUAUUUAUAUCUUUUACUUAAUAAAAAAAUAUAUCUCUAUAUGCAAUUAAUUUUGUGCAAAAUAUUAUCCUUGGGAUCAAACUUGGAAGUGCCUAACGUGUUUGCUGUGAUUUCUUUUCUGAAAGCAGAUUAGUCUUCUGUUUUUUUUGUUCACAUUCAUUUUUAUGCUGUAGCAAUUGUUUUCUAACCAUUGUAACCUGGGAAAAUUCAGCAAUAUUUGAAGAAGCAUCUUUCUUUCUUUUUCCACCUGAAAAGAUUUGUAAAUGUAAGAAACCUUUUCUAAAUAAUUUACUUUCAGCUCUGAUUUACUACUGUGAGGCUAUUAUUUGCUUUAAACGAUUUAAGAAAAAAACGACAAAUUAAAUGCCUUUUUGGAAUAAAAAAGGAAGCACCCCUUUGCAGCCGAAAUUGCAUGUGUGAUAUAUUUUUUUAAACUCAACUUUCAAGCCUUUUAAAUUGAGGUUUCGCCUAUGGAGGAGAAAAACAAUUGUAUUCUGAAAUAGUCAAACAUUUUCAAAAGACCACUAUAGCAAAUUCUGUAAUUGUAAUGCAGUUCAGAUUUUGAAUAAUUGUUUUAAUUUUAAUCCAGUACAUAUUUGUGGUUUAUUUUGAAGCAAGCAAUUCAUGGCAGCUUUUAUCAAAAAAAUAAUAAUUAAAAAUAGGAUUUGAUUUA